CGCGCGGAGAACGGGAGAAGGAAGCCUUUCCGUCGAGCCGUUGAAGUCGAUCGCUUCUCCAUCCAGCGCGACGCAGCAGUUUUCUCCAAAGGGUCGUCCAGUCGGCAGCGGGCAGCCCAUUUAAGACAUUCUCUCGGUCUCGAUCUCCCAUCUUCAAUUCUUCAACGCAGCCGAAGCCCGAAGUUUUUCAACGCAGCAAUUUCAUUGUUGUGUAUCAUUUCACUCGCAUUCUUCAACGCAGCUGAACUGUUCUUAUCUCUUCAGUUCUUCAACGCAGCUGCAGUGUUGAAGAGAAAAAAAUUUCAGCCUACGUCUUCUUCGCUUCCGCGGCCGUGCCACCUAACAUUUCCACUCAUGUAAUGCUCCAAUCAUGUAAUGCUCGAUAUGCCUUGUCCACUAUGAAGAUGAGGAAGGGUAGGAUAAGGCAUACUAAGGCUUUUACGGGAUUGCGGUCAUUUAUUUCAUGCCAUGUGUGUGGAUCCAUGGUUGGGGUAACCUCCCAACUUGGCUUAACCUCACCUACGCCAAGUCAAACAUUAGGAUUUGUGGGCGGCCACCGCCGACUGCUACUCGAGAUGCCUUGUCGACUAUGAUUAGGAGGAAGGGGAGGAUAAGCCAUUGAAACUUUUACCCGAUUGUGAGCAUUUAAG
Molecule: long non-coding RNA, 650 nt
Organism: Dendrobium catenatum
Lineage: Eukaryota; Viridiplantae; Streptophyta; Magnoliopsida; Asparagales; Orchidaceae
Exons: 4
Source: RefSeq, a predicted model, not a curated record